RNAcentral lists this ribosomal RNA (433 nucleotides) under Arhopala centaurus. RNAcentral describes it as "partial 12S small subunit ribosomal RNA". The record is from RNAcentral. Lineage: Eukaryota; Metazoa; Arthropoda; Insecta; Lepidoptera; Lycaenidae.
UUCAUUCUAGAAACACUUUCCAGUACCUCUACUUUGUUACGACUUAUUCCAAUUUUUAAAUGAAAGCGACGGGCAAUAUGUACAUAUUUUAGUUUUUAAUCAUUUUAUUAUAUUAAAUAAAAUUACAUUUAAAUCCACCUUUAUUUUAAUAUUACAAAAAAAAAUCCAUUUAAAUAUAUUUAUUGUAAUCCAUCAUAUUCUUAAUUAUAUUCUACAUCUUGAUCUGAAUUAAUUUCUAUUUAUAAUUUUUAAAUAUUAUUAUUAUUUUAAAAUAUUUUUUUAACAACGAUAUAUAAAAUUUUAAAUUAAGUAAAUUUAAUCGUGGAUUAUCAAUUAUUAGACAGAUUCCUCUAAAUGAACUAAAAUACCGCCAAAUUAUUUAAGUUUCAAUAAAUUAUUAUUUACUAUUUUAGUAUUUAUAAAUUAAAUUUUA